GUGGGGAAUAUUGGACAAUGGGCGAAAGCCUGAUCCAGCCAUGCCGCGUGUGUGAAGAAGGUCUUCGGAUUGUAAAGCACUUUAAGUGGGGAGGAAGGGCAGUAAGUUAAUACCUUGCUGUUUUGACGUUACCGACAGAAUAAGCACCGGCUAACUUCGUGCCAGCAGCCGCGGUAAUACGAAGGGUGCAAGCGUUAAUCGGAAUUACUGGGCGUCAAGCGCGCGUAGGUGGUUUUGUAAGUUGGAGGGGAAAUCCCCGGGCUCAACCUGGGAACUGGCUCCAAAACUGCAUGACUAGAGUACGGUAGAGGGUAGUGGAAUUUCCUGUGUAGCGGUGAAAUGCGUAGAUAUAGGAAGGAACACCAGUGGCGAAGGCGACUACCUGGACUGAUACUGACACUGAGGUGCGAAAGCGUGGGGAGCAAACAGGAUUAGAAACCCGAGUAGUCC
RNAcentral lists this ribosomal RNA (450 nucleotides) under uncultured bacterium. RNAcentral's name for it is "partial 16S ribosomal RNA". It matches the Rfam family "Bacterial small subunit ribosomal RNA", at positions 354 to 796 of the family's 1533-position model. The record is from RNAcentral.